UACAGAGGGUGCGAGCGUUGUCGAAUUAUUGGGCGUAAAGCGCUUGUAGGCGGCUUGUAAGUUCCGUGUGAAAUCCCCAGGCUUAACCUGGGAAGUGCGCGGAAAACUGGCGAGCUUGAAUGCCGGAGAGGGUCGUGGAAUUCCCGGUGUAGCGGUGAAAUGCGUAGAGAUCGGGAGGACACCAGAGGCGAAGGCGGCGACCUGG
This 205-nucleotide ribosomal RNA is filed under the name uncultured bacterium. Its description in RNAcentral is "partial 16S ribosomal RNA". It matches the Rfam family "Bacterial small subunit ribosomal RNA", at positions 524 to 732 of the family's 1533-position model. The record is from RNAcentral.